RNAcentral lists this ribosomal RNA (460 nucleotides) under uncultured bacterium. RNAcentral describes it as "partial 16S ribosomal RNA". It matches the Rfam family "Bacterial small subunit ribosomal RNA", at positions 338 to 795 of the family's 1533-position model. The record is from RNAcentral.
CCUACGGGUGGCAGCAGGGAGGAAUAUUGGUCAAUGGACGAGAGUCGGAACCAGCCAAGUAGCGUGAAGGAUGACGGCCCAAUGGGUGGUAAACUUCGUUUAUAAAGGAAUAAAACGAGGCACGUGUGCCUUUUUGCAUGUACUUUAUGAAUAAGGAUCGGCUAACUCCGUGCCAGCAGCCGCGGUAAUACGGAGGAUCCGAGCGUUAUCCGGAUUUAUUGGGUUUAAAGGGAGCGUAGAUGGGUUGUUAAGUCAGUUGUGAAAGUUUGCGGCUCAACCGUAAAAUUGCACUUGAUACUGGCAGUCUUGAGUACAGUUGAGGUAGGCGGAAUUCGUGGUGUAGCGGUGAAAUGCUUAGAUAUCACGAAGAACCCCGCUUGCGAAGGCAGCUUACUAAACUGUGACUGACAUUGAUGCUCGAAAGUGUGGGUAUCAAACAGGAUUAGAUACCCGUGUAGUC